UGGGGAAUAUUGCACAAUGGGCGGAAGCCUGAUGCAGCGACGCCGCGUGAGGGAUGACGGCCUUCGGGUUGUAAACCUCUUUCAGUAGGGACGAAGCGUAAGUGACGGUACCUGCAGAAGAAGCACCGGCUAACUACGUGCCAGCAGCCGCGGUAAUACGUAGGUGGCGAGCGUUAUCCGGAUUUACUGGGCGUAAAGGGCGUGUAGGCGGCUAGAUAAGUGUGAUGUUUAAAUCCAAGGCUUAACCUUGGGGUUCAUUACAAACUGUUUAGCUUGAGUGCUGGAGAGGAUAGUGGAAUUCCUAGUGUAGCGGUAAAAUGCGUAGAUAUUAGGAGGAACACCGGUGGCGAAGGCGGCUAUCUGGACAGUAACUGACGCUGAGGCGCGAAAGCGUGGGGAGCAAACAGG
This 408-nucleotide ribosomal RNA is filed under the name Verrucomicrobiota bacterium. Its description in RNAcentral is "Verrucomicrobia bacterium partial 16S ribosomal RNA". It matches the Rfam family "Bacterial small subunit ribosomal RNA", at positions 355 to 776 of the family's 1533-position model. The record is from RNAcentral. Lineage: Bacteria; Pseudomonadati; Verrucomicrobiota.